This 1778-nucleotide long non-coding RNA is filed under the name Gossypium raimondii (Peruvian cotton). Its description in RNAcentral is "long non-coding RNA (GRAI_LNC006108)". Lineage: Eukaryota; Viridiplantae; Streptophyta; Magnoliopsida; Malvales; Malvaceae. The record is from RNAcentral.
UUCUAUUUUUGGUUAAAAAUUAAUCGAUUAACCGAUUUAAUCGAUUUAACCGAUUUAACCGAUUAACCGAUUAACCGAUUAACCGAUUAAACCGAUUUAACCGAUUAACCGAUUUAACCGAUUUUAAAUCACUACAUAGUUAAAAAAAUUACAUAAGUCUUUGAAUCACUACAUAAUUAAAAACAUUACAUAAGUCUUUGAAUCACUACAUAAUUAAAAACAUUAUGUAAGUCUUUAAAUCACUAUAUAAUUAAAAACAUUACAUAAGUCUUAAAAUUAUCACAUAAUUAAAAUGUAAGAAUUUAAUAUUCUCCAUUUAUAUCAAUUUCUUCUCUCCAAAAAAUCUCCAUUUGCAUUAAACCUACAAAAAAAUUAUGUGCAAAAAUUUAGCAUAUAAUAGAAAUAUACGGAUUUUAAAAAAAUUAAUUAAUAUAAACAAACGAAUAGAUUAUAAGUUAACAAGAAUAAGAUAGUAAGCAUACCCUUCAAUUUUUUGUUGUGGUUCACCGAGAGAAACAUGUGUUGGCACACUCAAUUGACUACAAGUACUAUGAAGUGGAGGCUUAUACUCAUCAAACAAUUCAUACAAAGAUUCCUUCAAUUUUUGCAUCAUUUCACAAGCUUUUUCAGAACUAGACAUUUCACUAAGUGCAAAUUCAAGAUACUUUAGUUUUUGUCUAGGAUCUAAAAUACAAGCAACAAACAUAAGCAAAUUCAUCUUAUCAAUAUCACCCCAAUUAGCCAUAAUAAUUACUGCUUUCAUAAACUAGAAAGCCAUAAAUUCAAAAAGUGGAAUUACUGCUUUCAUAAACUAGAAAGCCAUAAAUUCAUAAAGUGGAAUUACUGCUUUCAUAAAUUCAUAAAUUCAUAAAGCCAUAAUAAUUAAAGUAAAAUAAAAGAUAUUUGUAAUUAAACACAUGGUUGAUUAUGCAUUAAUCAAUUAGUAAAAGAAAAAAAAAACCUAAGUGUCACAGUAAUUCAAGUUAAACUAUUGGUUGCAUAUAAUAAAAAGACAACGAUAUUUUAUAAUUUGAGUGCUAGCAAAAUAGAGACAGAGGGAUUAAUGGCAAUUACGAUGGGUUGGAACUUGGAAGAUGGUCAAAAAAUAAAUGAAUACAUAAAUAUGAAACAAAAUCAGAAAGGAUAACGCAAACAAAAAGUAGAAUUAAAAAUUCAUAUUUAAAAAUAACAAGGAACAGGAACGGAAGAGAAAACUUAAGCCUUCUCUCUCUCACGAAAGUAUAGCAUAAAACAACAACAAACUAACUCACAGACCUUAUCAAUAAAUUUCAAAGACAGCAGGGAGCAGAUGAGCAGUAGGCGGAGAGCAAGGAGCAGAUGAGCAGUAGGCGGAGAGCAAGGCAGCAGCAGCAGGCUAUUAGCUGUUCUGUUUUAGUUUUAGGGUUUUAGACUUUUAGUAAUUUUUAUUUUUCAGUUGUUUGUUUUAUUGGGUUAGUAAUUGGUAAAUGGUAAUUGGGUUUGGGUAGACUUUAGUUUAUUGGGUUGGUAAAUGUUAAUUGGGUUUGGGUAGACUUUAGUUUGUUGGGUUGGUAAAUGGUAAUUGGGUUGGGUAAUUGGGUUUAUUAAUUUUUUUGGUUUAACCGAAAAAAAUCGGUUAACCGACCGGUUUCGAACCGAUUUAACCGUUAACCGAAAAAAUAAAAAAAAAUUAACCGACCCCCGACCGAAUUUUUUCGGUUAACCGAUCGAUUAACCGAACUCGGUCGGUUAACCGAAAAAAAUCGGGUUAACCGACUUAUGCACAGCCCUACUAUCCC